UUAAAUUGAAGAGUUUGAUCAUGGCUCAGAUUGAACGCUGGCGGCAGGCCUAACACAUGCAAGUCGAACGGUAACAGGAAGCAGCUUGCUGCUUUGCUGACGAGUGGCGGACGGGUGAGUAAUGUCUGGGAAGCUGCCUGAUGGAGGGGGAUAACUACUGGAAACG
This 166-nucleotide ribosomal RNA is filed under the name Salmonella enterica. RNAcentral describes it as "partial 16S ribosomal RNA". It matches the Rfam family "Bacterial small subunit ribosomal RNA", at positions 1 to 158 of the family's 1533-position model. Lineage: Bacteria; Pseudomonadati; Pseudomonadota; Gammaproteobacteria; Enterobacterales; Enterobacteriaceae. The record is from RNAcentral.